UGGGGAAUAUUGCACAAUGGGCGCAAGCCUGAUGCAGCCAUGCCGCGUGUAUGAAGAAGGCCUUCGGGUUGUAAAGUACUUUCAGUCGGGAGGAAGGUGGUAAGGUUAAUAACCUUAUCAAUUGACGUUACCGACAGAAGAAGCACCGGCUAACUCCGUGCCAGCAGCCGCGGUAAUACGGAGGGUGCAAGCGUUAAUCGGAAUUACUGGGCGUAAAGCGCACGCAGGCGGUUGAUUGAGUCAGAUGUGAAAUCCCCGGGCUUAACCCGGGAAUUGCAUCUGAUACUGGUCAGCUAGAGUCGUGUAGAGGGGGGUAGAAUUCCAUGUGUAGCAGUGAAAUGCGUAGAGAUGUGGAGGAAUACCGGUGGCGAAGGCGGCCCCCUGGACAAAGACUGACGCUCAGGUGCGAAAGCGUGGGGAGCAAACAGG
Molecule: ribosomal RNA, 429 nt
Filed under: Chloroflexota bacterium
Lineage: Bacteria; Bacillati; Chloroflexota
Description: Chloroflexi bacterium partial 16S ribosomal RNA
Rfam family: Bacterial small subunit ribosomal RNA
Source: RNAcentral